This is a non-coding RNA of Paralichthys olivaceus (Japanese flounder), 314 nucleotides long. Lineage: Eukaryota; Metazoa; Chordata; Actinopteri; Pleuronectiformes; Paralichthyidae. The record is from RefSeq and is a predicted model, not a curated record.
AAAUGCGGAGCCGACCCAGGAGCCGUCAGAUGCCUGAGCUCCUCGCUCCGGGACUCCAGCUCUGAAUGAAACGACGGAUCGCAGCAGGCGGAGCUGUCGUUAUUGUGAUGAGUGACCGAACAGAAGAAACCAAAACAAAGUUUACGAGACGACGCAGAGGACGCCGUUGGACAAGUCUGCAGAAGAUGGAGCGGGUAUGUAAACAGAGUGCGGAUGAGCACGUUCUUAAAUGCAUGUAAAUCUCUUCCAAAUCACUGAAGUGGGAUAUUUCAGGUGCUCGAUGAACCGCAGGAAAUCCUGUGGAUUUAUUCUGU